Molecule: long non-coding RNA, 933 nt
Filed under: Ornithorhynchus anatinus (platypus)
Lineage: Eukaryota; Metazoa; Chordata; Mammalia; Monotremata; Ornithorhynchidae
Description: lncRNA (ENSOANG00000044902.1)
Source: RNAcentral
CUUUGGGCACCACCAAAGUUUCGGACCUGGGAUCUAGGCCACUUCUCCUCCUCUCUGGAAAAUCGUCUGGUCGGUGGCUGGGCUGACUAGCUAGCAUGGACUCUCCCUCUCCCCUAACUGCAGCCCUGAUGCCAAACCCCCACCCAGAUAGCCAGGAAGUCUGCCACUUUCUUAAAGAGCUCCAGGAAAAGAGAUCAAAUAGGCUGGGCGCCAGCCCCUUGCAGGCUCAGCAAAUGACAAAGCGGAGGUGUAGCCAGCACAGCCAAUCCCAGCCCUGAGAGCCUCUGCAGCACUUUCUAUUCCCGAAACAAACAUGCACCCGGUCUGUGAGGGGGAGGGGGCUCUCAGCGUGGUCUGUGUUUGUGGGGGAUUGGGGGGGAGGUGGGCGCGGGAGACUCGUACAGAGUGAACCGGGGUAGGGGCAAAAGGGGCAUCCUCCUCACCUGCCCUCUGUCCCCCUCGUUCCGCCUCUUGCCAGGAGUUGGCACCGGAUACACGAGCUAUUUAAAAAUAAUUCUAGUGAUCCUAAAAGCCUCGUUGCUCUGUGGGAGGCUGGAUGGGCAGAGAAUCAGGAGCCACGACCCUGAGCUGGGCUGGAGGAAGCCAGAUGGACGUGGACAGUGUUCCGCUGUCCCCUCCCGAGCUGCAGGGAGAUCCCGACACCAGGUGUCGACGUCUGAGCUCCGAACCUGAGACGGGGUCCUCUACGGCCGAAGGCCGGCCCAACCCAGGUCCGGGCCUCGUCCUCCCCUGACUUCCCCAUCCCUUCCCGCUUCUCCGGAACCAAGAUCUCAGUCACGGGGUCUCCCUGGUUCAGCGCCAGGUUCUCCGAGUUGACAUCUGACUCUGCUCCCCAGCCGGCGGGAGCCGCCAAAGAGAUCCCGAGGCUUGGAGAACCGGACAACCUCAAGCCACCGACAAGGCCACCCGAGA